GAUGAACGCUGGCGGCGUGCCUAAUACAUGCAAGUCGAGCGAACGGACGAGAAGCUUGCUUCUCUGAUGUUAGCGGCGGACGGGUGAGUAACACGUGGAUAACCUACCUAUAAGACUGGGAUAACUUCGGGAAACCGGAGCUAAUACCGGAUGAUAUUUUGAACCGCAUGGUUCAAAAGUGAAAGACGGUCUUGCUGCCACUUAUAGAUGGAUCCGCGCUGCAUUAGCUAGUUGGUAAGGUAACGGCUUACCAAGGCAACGAUGCAUAGCCGACCUGAGAGGGUGAUCGGCCACACUGGAACUGAGGCACGGUCCAGACUCCUACGGGAGGCAGCAGUAGGGAAUCUUCCGCAAUGGGCGAAAGCCUGACGGAGCAACGCCGCGUGAGUGAUGAAGGUCUUCGGAUCGUAAAACUCUGUUAUUAGGGAAGAACAUAUGUGUAAGUAACUGUGCACAUCUUGACGGUACCUAAUCAGAAAGCCACGGCUAACUACGUG
RNAcentral lists this ribosomal RNA (497 nucleotides) under uncultured bacterium. RNAcentral's name for it is "partial 16S ribosomal RNA". It matches the Rfam family "Bacterial small subunit ribosomal RNA", at positions 28 to 507 of the family's 1533-position model. The record is from RNAcentral.